Molecule: long non-coding RNA, 385 nt
Filed under: Triticum aestivum (bread wheat)
Lineage: Eukaryota; Viridiplantae; Streptophyta; Magnoliopsida; Poales; Poaceae
Description: long non-coding RNA (TAES_LNC005350)
Source: RNAcentral
AUGAUUGCCCCGGUGAUCGACGAACUGGCAAAGGACUACGUGGGGAAGAUCAAGUGCUGCAAAGUGAACACGGACGACUGCCCAAACAUCGCAUCCACCUACGGCAUCCGGAGCAUCCCCACCGUGCUCAUGUUCAAGGACGGCGAGAAGAAGGAGAGCGUCAUCGGCGCCGUCCCGAAGACCACCCUCUGCACCAUCAUCGACAAGUACAUCGGCAGCUAAUUAAUCAUUCUUCAUUACCGAUUAAUCGAGGACGCACACAUUACUGUUCUGUUCGCCAGACAGCAUAUAUGUAUGUAUAUGAUGCACGUAUACGAUCCACCGAUCAGUCGUGACUUGUACUACUCUUAAUUCAGAUGCAAAUCAAAACUGAUUUAUUCGGGCG